This 468-nucleotide ribosomal RNA is filed under the name uncultured bacterium. RNAcentral describes it as "partial 16S ribosomal RNA". It matches the Rfam family "Bacterial small subunit ribosomal RNA", at positions 28 to 507 of the family's 1533-position model. The record is from RNAcentral.
GACGAACGCUGGCGGCGUGCUUAACACAUGCAAGUCGAACGGAAAGGCCCUGCUUUUGUUGGUUGCUCGAGUGCCGAACGGGUGAGUAACACGUGAGUAACCUGCCCUUGACUUUGGGAUAACUUCAGGAAACUGGGGCUAAUACCGGAUAGGAUCUCCUGCUGCAUGGUGGGGGUUGGAAAGUUUCGGCGGUUGGGGAUGGACUCGCGGCUUAUCAGCUUGUUGGUGUGGUAGUGGCUUACCAAGGCUUUGACGGGUAGCCGGCCUGGGAGGGUGACCGGCCACAUUGGGACUGCGAUACGGACCAGACUCCUACGGGAGGCAGCAGUGGGGAAUAUGGCACAGUGGGCGGAAGCCUGAUGCAGCAACGCCGCGUGCGGGAUGACGGCCUUCGGGUUGUAAACCGCUUUCGCAUGUGACGAAGCGUGAGUGACGGUAAUGGGUAAAGAAGCACCGGCUAACUACGUG